GAUGAACGCUGGCGGCGUGCCUAAUACAUGCAAGUAGAACGCUGAAGCUUGGCGCUUGCACCGAGCGGAUGAGUUGCGAACGGGUGAGUAACGCGUAGGUAACCUGCCUCUUAGCGGGGGAUAACUAUUGGAAACGAUAGCUAAUACCGCAUAAAAGACGAUAUCGCAUGAUAUUGAUUUGAAAGGUGCAAAUGCAUCACUAAGAGAUGGACCUGCGUUGUAUUAGCUAGUUGGUGAGGUAACGGCUCACCAAGGCAACGAUACAUAGCCGACCUGAGAGGGUGAUCGGCCACACUGGGACUGAGACACGGCCCAGACUCCUACGGGAGGCAGCAGUAGGGAAUCUUCGGCAAUGGGGGCAACCCUGACCGAGCAACGCCGCGUGAGUGAAGAAGGUUUUCGGAUCGUAAAGCUCUGUUGUAAGAGAAGAACGAGUGUGAAAGUGGAAAGUUCACACUGUGACGGUAACUUACCAGAAAGGGACGGCUAACUACGUGCCGGCAGCCCCGGUGAAACGUAGGUCCCGAGCUUUAUCCGGAUUAAUUGGGCGUUAACCGGACACCGGUGGGUAUAUCUUUCUUAAGUAAAAGGGUG
This 594-nucleotide ribosomal RNA is filed under the name uncultured Streptococcus sp. RNAcentral's name for it is "bacterial SSU rRNA". It matches the Rfam family "Bacterial small subunit ribosomal RNA", at positions 28 to 604 of the family's 1533-position model. Lineage: Bacteria; Bacillati; Bacillota; Bacilli; Lactobacillales; Streptococcaceae. The record is from RNAcentral.